Molecule: ribosomal RNA, 374 nt
Filed under: uncultured bacterium
Lineage: Bacteria
Description: bacterial SSU rRNA
Rfam family: Bacterial small subunit ribosomal RNA
Source: RNAcentral
GACGAACGCUGGCGGCGUGCUUAACACAUGCAAGUCGAGCGGUAAGGCCCUUUCGGGGGUACACGAGCGGCGAACGGGUGAGUAACACGUGGGUGACCUGCCUUUAGCUCUGGGAUAAGCCUGGGAAACUGAGUCUAAUACCGGAUACGACUCCGCGGUGCAUGCUGUGGGGUGGAAAGCCUUGUGCGGCUGGAGAUGGGCCCGCGGCCUAUCAGCUUGUUGGUGGGGUGAUGGCCACCAAGGCGACGACGGGUAGCCGGCCUGAGAGGGCGACCGGCCACACUGGGACUGAGACACGGCCCAGACUCCUACGGGAGGCAGCAGUGGGGAAUCUUGCGCAAUGGGCGAAAGCCUGACGCAGCGACGCCGCGUGA